RNAcentral lists this ribosomal RNA (498 nucleotides) under uncultured bacterium. RNAcentral describes it as "partial 16S ribosomal RNA". It matches the Rfam family "Bacterial small subunit ribosomal RNA", at positions 30 to 523 of the family's 1533-position model. The record is from RNAcentral.
AUUGAACGCUGGCGGCACGCCUUACACAUGCAAGUCGAACGGUAACGGGCCUUCGGGUGCCGACGAGUGCCGAACGGGUGAGUAAUACAUCGGAACGUGCCCGAUCGUGGGGGAUAACGAGGCGAAAGCUUUGCUAAUACCGCAUACGAUCUACGGAUGAAAGCAGGGGACCGCAAGGCCUUGCGCGGACGGAGCGGCCGAUGGCAGAUUAGGUAGUUGGUGGGAUAAAAGCUUACCAAGCCGACGAUCUGUAGCUGGUCUGAGAGGAUGAUCAGCCACGCUGGGACUGAGACACGGCCCAGACUCCUACGGGAGGCAGCAGUGGGGAAUUUUGGACAAUGGGCGCAAGCCUGAUCCAGCCAUGCCGCGUGCAGGAUGAAGGCCUUCGGGUUGUAAACUGCUUUUGUACGGAACGAAAAGCCUUCUUCUAAUACAGGAGGGUCAUGACGGUACCGUAAGAAUAAGCACCGGCUAACUACGUGCCAGCCGCCGCCGUAA